GAUGAACGCUGGCGGCGUGCCUAAUACAUGCAAGUCGAGCGAACGGACGAGAAGCUUGCUUCUCUGAUGUUAGCGGCGGACGGGUGAGUAACACGUGGAUAACCUACCUAUAAGACUGGGAUAACUUCGGGAAACCGGAGCUACUACCGGAUAAUAUUUUGAACCGCAUGGUUCAAAAGUGAAAGACGGUCUUGCUGUCACUUAUAGAUGGAUCCGCGCUGCAUUAGCUAGUUGGUAAGGUAACGGCUUACCAAGGCAACGAUGCAUAGCCGACCUGAGAGGGUGAUCGGCCACACUGGAACUGAGACACGGUCCAGACUCCUACGGGAGGCAGCAGUAGGGAAUCUUCCGCAAUGGGCGAAAGCCUGACGGAGCAACGCCGCGUGAGUGAUGAAGGUCUUCGGAUCGUAAAACUCUGUUAUUAGGGAAGAACAUAUGUGUAAGUAACUGUGCACAUCCUGACGGUACCUAAUCAGAAAGCCACGGCUAACUACGUG
This 497-nucleotide ribosomal RNA is filed under the name uncultured bacterium. Its description in RNAcentral is "partial 16S ribosomal RNA". It matches the Rfam family "Bacterial small subunit ribosomal RNA", at positions 28 to 507 of the family's 1533-position model. The record is from RNAcentral.